Molecule: long non-coding RNA, 458 nt
Organism: Chenopodium quinoa (quinoa)
Lineage: Eukaryota; Viridiplantae; Streptophyta; Magnoliopsida; Caryophyllales; Amaranthaceae
Exons: 3
Source: RefSeq, a predicted model, not a curated record
CAAACCCGAUCCACCCAGCUUUCUCAAUCAAAUGGCUUUUUAUAAAAAAAACCAAAACAGGUUCUCUUCUUCAAAUUUUUCCAGCGGCAUCUUGAAUUUAAGGAGUGAGAUGUUAGAGGAAGGAGCUAGGAAUGGACCCCGCAAGCCGCAACCACCUUUGAUCUGAGGACGAUCUAUGUUUUUGAAUUUUGACGAGCGAUUUCUGUCUCCUUUGAUCUGACGGUGCCUCUUAUUACUUCCUGGUUUUCAGUUUUCCAAGUUGGGAUGACUUAUGUAUCAUGGAUUUGAUAUUAUAGUUGAUUACGUAGGCGUCCCAAUGAAGUCCUAGACCACACUUUGAAGCAAAAAGAGUGAGCUUUAAUUCUCAUGAAAGCAGUGAUAAGUGUCCACAGAAAAGUAGCAAGCUAAGCUGCAUCAUAUAUAUCCUGAAGCUUAUUAUCAAGCAAAAGAAACUUUGC